GACGAACGCUGGCGGCGUGCCUAAUACAUGCAAGUAGAACGCAGUUGCGCACGGGUGAGUAACGCGUAGGUAACUGCCUCAUAGCGGGGGAUAACUAUUGGAAACGAGAGCUAAUACCGGAUACUGUGAGAUGGACCUGCGUUGUAUUAGCUAGUUGGUGAGGUAAAGGCUCACCAAGGCGACGAUACAUAGCCGACCUGAGAGGGUGAUCGGCCACACUGGGACUGCGACCCGGCCCAGACUCCUUCGGGUGGCCGCCGUAGGGAAUCGUCGGCAAUGGACCGAAGUCCGACCGAGCAACGCCGCGUUAGUGAAGAAGGUUUUCGGGUCGUUAAGCUCUGUUGUUAGAGAAGCGGUACCUAACCAGAAAGCGCCGGCUAACUACGUGCCAGCAGCCGCGGUAAUUC
This 407-nucleotide ribosomal RNA is filed under the name uncultured bacterium. Its description in RNAcentral is "partial 16S ribosomal RNA". It matches the Rfam family "Bacterial small subunit ribosomal RNA", at positions 28 to 526 of the family's 1533-position model. The record is from RNAcentral.